UAUGAAAAUCAGCGUGUUCAACUGAUGACAUAAAACAGACUGACUCUGCUAACCUGAUUUAAUUCUUCUGAAAAUCGGAGGGAACGCUGAAAGGCAAGGUGUUCUGUCGAGGUCUAGUGAGAUAUAAAUGGCUUCUACAAAGAAAAAUGCUGCAUUUCUGGUUUUUCUCGCUGUUUUCGCUUUACUAACAAGUGAGACAUCAAGCCAUUUGAGGGUGGGGAAAAAAGCGUUCGUACCGUUACAGAACGAACUUGAAGAAUUGUUUAAAAACCGAAGAAAAAUCAGCUUUGCAGAAAACAGGAGAAAAUUUAAUCAAAGAGACAACUGGAGGCUCGGAACAGAGGAACUGCGAGAGUUUUAUAGAGAGUAAGGCCAUCGGAUAACCGAGAUGCCAUGGUAAAGCAUGCGUAAUCAAGUCAAAGAACAGAUUAUUUAGAUGUAAUAAGCAUAUUGUAGUUAGUUUAAAAAAAAAUACCUGAAUACUUUCCAGCUAAAGACAUUUUCGAACAGUAG
Molecule: long non-coding RNA, 513 nt
Organism: Pocillopora verrucosa
Lineage: Eukaryota; Metazoa; Cnidaria; Anthozoa; Scleractinia; Pocilloporidae
Source: RefSeq, a predicted model, not a curated record